AGAGUUUGAUCCUGGCUCAGAAUUGAACGCUGGCGGAAUGCUUUACACAUGCAAGUCGGACGGCAGCACGGGUGCUUGCACCUGGUGGCGAGUGGCGAACGGGUGAGUAAUGCACCGGAACGUAUCCAAUAAUGGGGGAUAACGCACCGAAAGGUGUGCUAACACCGCAUACGCCCUGAGGGGGAAAGCGGGGGAUCGUAAGACCUCGCGUUAAUGGAGCGGCCGAUGCCGGAUUAGCUAGUUGGUGAGGUAAAGGCUCACCAAGGCGACGAUCCGUAGCUGGUCUGAGAGGACGACCAGCCACACUGGAACUGAGACACGGUCCAGACUCCUACGGGAGGCAGCAGUGGGGAAUUUUGGACAAUGGGCGCAAGCCUGAUCCAGCCAUUCCGCGUGAGUGAAGAAGGCCUUCGGGUUGUAAAGCUCUUUCGCAAGGAAAGAAAACUUAUCUCCUAAUACGAGGUGAGGUUGACGGUACCUUGAUAAGAAGCACCGGCUAACUACGUGCCAGCAGCCGCGGUAAUACGUAGGGUGCGAGCGUUAAUCGGAAUUACUGGGCGUAAAGCGUGCGCAGGCGGUUUUGUAAGUCAGAUGUGAAAUCCCCGGGCUCAACCUGGGAACUGCGUUUGAAACUACAAGGCUAGAGUGUAGAAGAGGGGGGUAGAAUUCCACGUGUAGCAGUGAAAUGCGUAGAGAUGUGGAGGAAUACCGAUGGCGAAGGCAGCCCCCUGGGCUAACACUGACGCUCAUGCACGAAAGCGUGGGGAGCAAACAGGAUUAGAUACCCUGGUAGUCCACGCCCUAAACGAUGUCUACUAGUUGUUGGGAGAGUAAAAUCUCUUAGUAACGCAGCUAACGCGUGAAGUAGACCGCCUGGGGAGUACGGUCGCAAGAUUAAAACUCAAAGGAAUUGACGG
Molecule: ribosomal RNA, 917 nt
Filed under: uncultured bacterium
Lineage: Bacteria
Description: bacterial SSU rRNA
Rfam family: Bacterial small subunit ribosomal RNA
Source: RNAcentral